Molecule: non-coding RNA, 122 nt
Filed under: Carlito syrichta (Philippine tarsier)
Lineage: Eukaryota; Metazoa; Chordata; Mammalia; Primates; Tarsiidae
Source: RNAcentral
GUGUAGUAUGAAAAGAGAGGUUAGCAUUCCCCUUGACAAGGAUGGAAGAGGCUCUCGGGCUGGACAACAUGCAUAGGUUAAGACAUUGCCACCUACUUCGCGGCAUCUAACCAUCGUUUUUU